UAAUAAGGAAGGUAAGAGCAUAAAUGGCAAGAUAUGCUUGAACAAGUUUGUCUCGAACUACAAGAGGAAACAGUGAAAGCAAUGCAUAGUGUAGAAAAUGUAUAAAUAAUGAAGGUUCAUCCAGAGCCAACAUGGUCGCAGGAAGAAGAGGCAGAAGGACAGACUUCUCAUGCACUUGAAAUGAGAACAGGUAGAAUGAGAAAGAACUACAUAAAAGGCCAUAUAGAAACCCCCG
Molecule: unclassified non-coding RNA, 235 nt
Filed under: Hevea brasiliensis (rubber tree)
Lineage: Eukaryota; Viridiplantae; Streptophyta; Magnoliopsida; Malpighiales; Euphorbiaceae
Source: RNAcentral